Molecule: ribosomal RNA, 238 nt
Filed under: Desulfobacteraceae bacterium
Lineage: Bacteria; Pseudomonadati; Thermodesulfobacteriota; Desulfobacteria; Desulfobacterales; Desulfobacteraceae
Description: partial 16S ribosomal RNA
Rfam family: Bacterial small subunit ribosomal RNA
Source: RNAcentral
UCUGCAACUCGACUCCAUGAAGCUGGAAUCGCUAGUAAUCGCGGAUCAGCAUGCCGCGGUGAAUACGUUCCCGGGCCUUGUACACACCGCCCGUCACACCAUGAGAGUUGGCUGUACCAGAAGUUGUUGGGCUAACCCCACAUUAGUGGAGAGGCAGGCACCUAAGGUAUGGUUGGCGAUUAGGGUGAAGUCGUAACAAGGUAGCCGUUGGGGAACCAGCGGCUGGAUCACCUCCUUU